UAGUGAUGAUAGCGGAGAGGAAACACCCGUUCCCAUCCCGAACACGGAAGUUAAGCUCUCCAGCGCCGAUGGUAGUUGGGGCCAGCGCCCCUGCAAGAGUAGGUCGUUGCUA
RNAcentral lists this ribosomal RNA (112 nucleotides) under Geobacillus thermodenitrificans. Lineage: Bacteria; Bacillati; Bacillota; Bacilli; Caryophanales; Anoxybacillaceae. The record is from RNAcentral.